RNAcentral lists this long non-coding RNA (1268 nucleotides) under Cyanistes caeruleus (blue tit). RNAcentral's name for it is "lncRNA (ENSCCEG00000004083.1)". The record is from RNAcentral. Lineage: Eukaryota; Metazoa; Chordata; Aves; Passeriformes; Paridae.
UAGAAGGUGUGAGAAACAAAGCCCACUCCUCACUUAAAAUUUAAAGAAAAUUUAAUGGGAGACAGUAGGGGACAAAGUCAAUAAAGCAAAAGUAACAGUGGUGGGUGCCUGGCUUGGGUACUUAGCCACAGCCAGAGGCACAUCAGUCAACACAGAAACACCCCUUAUAUGCCCUGGGUAUGGCAUCAGCCUAAUACAAAUUUAUAAACAGUUAUAUGAAUUCAAACAUUUUAAUAGUUCCUCCUCUGUCCUGUCUUUUUGGAGUAUGUGCAGUUGUCCUAGUGGUGGUCAUUUGUUACUUUUCAAAAUUGAAAAGCUUUCCAUUCUUUCAUUGAUUAAAUGUUAAUAUUACAACAACUCUUCAGCAACAUUGGUAUCACAACACAACAUUCACAAUUAAAAGAACUCUGAACUUUAGCAAAGCUUCUUUUACAAAAGUCAACAUUAUAAAACACCUAGUAUUUACUCUAACAAUUGCGACUGCCAACACUGUAAUAUUCAUCGCGAAGGUGCUGUGGUCUGAUGGUUUCUUCUAGAUAGAGAACCUGUCCUCUCAGCCUGUCUGUCCCCUGAGCCAUCAAACAAUGAUGCGUUCCCUUCCUCUUCUCCCAUUCCUGCAGGGCUCCAUUGCACCUGGUGAGAAGCAAGUGCUGAAAUUCUCUUACAUGCCAGGAUUACCAGGAGCCUUCAGCAGGAUUUACCAACUUAAAGUGGGUGACCUGGAGCCGGAAAAGAUCUGUCUGAAAGGAGAAGCGUCCUUUCCCAUGAUCAGUGUCAACCUGCCCUGGAACAUCAAAGGCGAUGAAAAAUAUGAGAAGCCACUGCAACAGCUUGUAAAACACAUGAAACAAGAUAGUGAGAGCAAUAAAUCAGUUGUUGGGAAGAAGAAUCAGAGCCCAAAGACUGAGACUUUGAAGUCUCAGACCCCAACGACUCAGACCACAAAAAUUCAGACAUCAAAGCCUCCGACUGUGAAAAUUCAGACCCCAAAGACUCAGACCUUGAAGACUUGGAAGCCAAAGACUAGGAACCUGAAGUUACUUCUGCCUGGCUCUGGCAUUGUAGUAAGAGCAGAUGCAGCCCCAUUUGGCACAUGCCACCUUUUCCAUGUCACCUGAGCCCUUUGCAGCCCACAGCAGCUUCCCAGUGCCCUGAUGGCACUUGGGACCUCCCUGCCCACUUAGAACCAUGUGUCACCUCAGCAUUGUCCCUAGGGCUGCCAUUCUGGUCAUGGUCUCUUCUGGGGUAGUUUCCUGGCUACCUCAGGG